GGGUUAGGGUUGGUUAGGGGUGGGGUUAGGGUUGGUUUAGGGGUAGGGUUAGGAAUAGGGUUAGGGUUUUCCUAACCCUACCACUAACCCUACCCCUAGCCCAACCACUAACCCUACCCCUAACCCUACUCCAACCACUAACCCUACCCUUACCUCUAACCCAACCACUAACCC
Non-coding RNA from Pelobates cultripes (western spadefoot toad), 174 nucleotides. Lineage: Eukaryota; Metazoa; Chordata; Amphibia; Anura; Pelobatidae. The record is from the annotation of a GenBank genome assembly.